CAGAUACCGGCCUGGCGGGGCAUCUGCAGAUCCCCUCGGUCAGGGGCUGCCCCGCCUGGGCUGUUCGGAGCAGCUCCUCUGUAGGGCAGGGCCUGACCUCACCCCACACCCCAGUGGCUUCAGCUCCCUGCCCAGCGCACGGGCUGCCUCCAUCAGGGCACUUAAGUAGAGUCAAGGUUUGCGCCGACUCCGUCUCCCAGAAAUCAACGUGGACCAGGCCCACUUAAAAAAUAUGCAUUAGUCGAAGACAGACGUCUCGUCCAUAGGUCCCCAGACUGUUUGUCCACAACGCAGGGCUUCUCUUUGUGGGCCUGAAGGAGCACACGUCAGGCAAGACACGAGGGCAACUUCAGAGACACUGUUCAGGGCCACGGAGAAUUCUCGAAGUCUGACUCCAGUCCCCGCAACACUCCAUCUUCCAGAGAUCUCCAGGGGUCCAGAAAUAACACCUCACAGCCUUCCAAGCUUCCCAAGGAUCCGGAGACUCCUUAUCUCGCAGCGCAAACCUCAGGCAACUACAGGUCCUCCCUGCACCUUUGAGGUGCCCCUCCCCCCACUCAAGGUUCCAGAAAAAUCCAUGCCCUCGGAAACCCCAGAAUCUUACUUUCCCGAGGCACCCCAGGACCCCAGGGUCAUCAGUUCACAGGGCUGUUAGUGCUCCCAUAAAACUCUAGCCUCCCAGAGGGACCCCAGCCCCCACCCUCCCGCCCACGAACCCCUGCAUUUCCAGAAUCAGCCCCAGGGCCCCAACCCCCCCAAGCCCCCAUUUCACAACACGCUGGCGCUACAGGCGCGUGACUUCCCCUUGCUUUGGGGCGG
Molecule: long non-coding RNA, 819 nt
Filed under: Homo sapiens (human)
Lineage: Eukaryota; Metazoa; Chordata; Mammalia; Primates; Hominidae
Description: novel transcript
Source: RNAcentral